UUUAUGGAGAGUUUGAUCCUGGCUCAGGAUGAACGCUGGCGGCGUGCCUAAUACAUGCAAGUCGAGCGAACGGACGAGAAGCUUGCUUCUCUGACGUUAGCGGCGGACGGGUGAGUAACACGUGGAUAACCUACCUAUAAGACUGGGAUAACUUCGGGAAACCGGAGCUAAUACCGGAUAAUAUUUUGAACCGCAUGGUUCAAAAGUGAAAGACGGUCUUGCUGUCACUUAUAGAUGGAUCCGCGCUGCAUUAGCUAGUUGGUAAGGUAACGGCUUAC
Molecule: ribosomal RNA, 278 nt
Filed under: Staphylococcus aureus
Lineage: Bacteria; Bacillati; Bacillota; Bacilli; Caryophanales; Staphylococcaceae
Description: partial 16S ribosomal RNA
Rfam family: Bacterial small subunit ribosomal RNA
Source: RNAcentral